UACGGAGGGGGCGAGCGUUAUUCGGAAUUAUUGGGCGUAAAGCGCGCGCAGGCGGUCCUUUAAGUCUGAUGUGAAAGCCCACGGCUCAACCGUGGAGGGUCAUUGGAAACUGGGGGACUUGAGUACAGAAGAGAAGAGUGGAAUUCCACGUGUAGCGGUGAAAUGCGUAGAGAUGUGGAGGAACACCAGUGGCGAAGGCGACUCUUUGGUCUGUAACUGACGCUGAGGCGCGAAAGUGUGGGGAGCGAACAGG
This 253-nucleotide ribosomal RNA is filed under the name uncultured bacterium. RNAcentral's name for it is "partial 16S ribosomal RNA". It matches the Rfam family "Bacterial small subunit ribosomal RNA", at positions 524 to 776 of the family's 1533-position model. The record is from RNAcentral.